Molecule: non-coding RNA, 1516 nt
Organism: Prunus avium (sweet cherry)
Lineage: Eukaryota; Viridiplantae; Streptophyta; Magnoliopsida; Rosales; Rosaceae
Source: RefSeq, a predicted model, not a curated record
UGCAUUCCAUAUUUUUAUAACUUAUUAACAAAGAACUACCUUAUACCUUCUAAAGGGAGCUAUCACCAUCCUCCAGCAUUGUGCAUACCUAUUUCAUCUUCUUCUCACAGUAAUUUGUUGAUUUUUCAAUGAGAUAUGGAUGUGGAGUUGGAGCUUUCUUUUCUUCUCAUGUUUUUUCUUUUUUGGUAAGAAAAAAUAAAUAAUGACACGGAUGUCGGAGAUCUUCUGAAGUUGGUAACAGAAAUAAUUUUGUAUCCUUCCAUGCAGUCUUCCUAUCCGGUUUUGUACAAAUAUUGAGAGUUAAAAUCUCUGGUUUUCACUCUACAACGUGUGAUGAUUCCUUUGCAGCACCGCAGGACAUGAGGCCUCUGGACUGGAAGCAUGAAAUUUCUUAUGAAUGGAUGUUUACUCUUAGCUACAGAAGAUGGGUCUAUACAAUUGUUGAAGAAAUAGGAGCAGACAACCUGGUAAAUUUUAUAUAACGUUAUACAAGCAUACCACUGUGAUGUGAAUUGAUAAACCUUCUCUAAAGAUAGAUGACGUGUGACUGAACAUAACAUGAGCUUCCGUAGAGAAUGGAAAGGCCGAGCGAGAUUUAUGUAGCCAACUAUAAUGUAGUUGAAUUCAGCUUAGCUGAUUGUGAUGUCAAGUAUUGUCGACCAACUGAAAUUUGCUUUUGCUGUAACUUCUGCAAGAUGGAAUCUGUGUAUUGACUAUUUCAAGAUUUUAGAUUGGUAUAUGGAAAGAUAUACUUGUUUAUAGUAUACAGAGAUAAUUCUCUUAGAAUUUGCUUUCUCCCAUUUUUGUUUGGGGGAAAGAUUCAUGAAGUUCCUAAAUUGCAUGAGGAAGUAUCUCCUAAAAUGCCACUGCAAUGUGCACGUGUUAUAAGGAGGGUCUGAGAUGGCUAUUUCGGCUUUAAAGACUAUUUUGAAUCUCUAUGUGCAUGAUACUAUGGACGGUGGCCCAACUCAAAGCAUAUAUAUGCAGUUUGAGUUUGGUGUUGUACAAUGCGUGGGAUUUGACUCUAUAUGACUACAGGCUGCUGCUGAUAAAGCAUUUGCGGAUCCAAAUAAGCGGACUCAGAUGAGCAUCCUUAGCACAGCUGGGCCGAGGAGAUUUAGCAACUAUAGAACAAUCCGAGACUACGUGGAGAAGACUUGGGAAAUAGAACCAUGCAGAUUCCUUUCUGAUGGCUAGCACACCCUCAUCCACACCCCAGUAGCAACAUUUUACAAAUUUGAAUCAAUGGUCAAUAAACUUUCUAAUAACAUAUAUGUUCCAGAUAAGCAGCUGUGAGCUUGUGGCAAUGAGAGGGUAAUAAAGAGAUAGACAAGCAUCCGACGCCUAUACACGUGCGAGUGUAGGUGAUUGUGAGCCAUCAAUAUUACAUAUAUAGGAUUACAUGAGUUAUGAAAUUUACUUACAUGGUGGAUAUUAUUGUGUUAGCUCGCAUGUAUGAACCACCGAUGGUAGCAAUGCUAUAAUAUGAGAGUGCUGAUGAGUAGAUUUUAUAUUA